This 265-nucleotide long non-coding RNA is filed under the name Ananas comosus (pineapple). Its description in RNAcentral is "long non-coding RNA (ACOM_LNC044571)". Lineage: Eukaryota; Viridiplantae; Streptophyta; Magnoliopsida; Poales; Bromeliaceae. The record is from RNAcentral.
CUCAUAGAAAUAAUCCUAACAUAUUCUCAAAUUUUCGAAAUUUUCUGACACUGUGCAUUUUCUGCUAAAAUAUCAGCCCCGUCUAUCACAGAAAAUUCUCAAUCUUCUAUUUUCACUCCGAUUUCCGCACGAGUCAAUCCCGACAUAUAAUUUACUUGCCUAAAUCUAAUAAAAAUAAUAUCUCACACUAUUUUUAUUUAUAUUCACUAUUAUUAAAAAUCCGGUAUGCUACAAACUCGGUAGAGAAUAUUAAACUUUAGCCGAA